UGGGGGAUAUUGCACAAUGGGCGAAAGCCUGAUGCAGCGACGCCGCGUGGGGGAUGAAGGCUUUCGGGUUGUAAACCUCUUUCGCUAUCGAACAAGGCCCGCUUAGGGUGGGUUGAGGGUAGGUGGAGAAGAAGCGCCGGCUAACUACGUGCCAGCAGCCGCGGUAAUACGUAGGGCGCGAGCGUUGUCCGGAAUUAUUGGGCGUAAAGGGCUUGUAGGCGGCUUGUUGCGCCUGCUGUGAAAACGCGGGGCUUAACUUCGCGCGUGCAGUGGGUACGGGGUGGCUUGAGUGUGGUAGGGGUGACUGGAAUUCCAGGUGUAGCGGUGGAAUGCGCAGAUAUCUGGAGGAACACCGAUGGCGAAGGCAGGUCACUGGGCCAUUACUGACGCUGAGGAGCGAAAGCAUGGGUAGCGAACAGG
Molecule: ribosomal RNA, 420 nt
Filed under: bacterium
Lineage: Bacteria
Description: partial 16S ribosomal RNA
Rfam family: Bacterial small subunit ribosomal RNA
Source: RNAcentral